This 169-nucleotide ribosomal RNA is filed under the name uncultured bacterium. Its description in RNAcentral is "partial 16S ribosomal RNA". It matches the Rfam family "Bacterial small subunit ribosomal RNA", at positions 1332 to 1500 of the family's 1533-position model. The record is from RNAcentral.
UCGCUAGUAAUCGCGAAUCAGAAUGUCGCGGUGAAUACGUUCCCGGGUCUUGUACACACCGCCCGUCACACCAUGGGAGUUGGUAACGCCCGAAGUCAGUGACCUAACCGAGAGGGAGGAGCUGCCGAAGGCGGGACCGAUAACUGGGGUGAAGUCGUAACAAGGUAAC